CAUUAGUAUGGUUUUUUCUUCUAACUGAACCUUUUAUUCCAUUUCUAUCACAGUUUUGUUUAUUUAUCAAUACUAUUCGAUAUAUAUUCAUUGUUAAUUACUGAUCAGGAACAUUUUUAGGGUAUAACAUUGCCUCAAAUAUCAAGUCAUGGACAAUUAUUUGCGUACAAAUAAAUUAUAUAGAAGUUUCAUAAAACACUUGUGGAAGCUGAUAACACUUGCCACACUCAUACACACGCACAUAUAUAUUUCAAUACAAUGAAGGCACAACGGGUGGGAUAAUAACUAGUAGGCUGCACAAUGAGAGGUAGUGAUGCAUACCAUAUCGGUUAGUAAGGGAGGUCUUGGUUGUUAUAUAUAUGGGUUUACAAUCCUCCCCUUACAAUUUGGCUUUUAAGGUGGAGUUAGGCAGGUAAUAUCAUUUGGUAUCAAAACCUUACCUUGUCUGGUCGGUGGGCUAUGAUCUCGGUUCUCUGUACAAGGAGUACAGUCUAAGGGGGUCAGUACUGAUGCAUCCCACAUCGGUUAGC
Molecule: unclassified non-coding RNA, 530 nt
Filed under: Hevea brasiliensis (rubber tree)
Lineage: Eukaryota; Viridiplantae; Streptophyta; Magnoliopsida; Malpighiales; Euphorbiaceae
Source: RNAcentral